This is a long non-coding RNA of Sphaeramia orbicularis (orbiculate cardinalfish), 145 nucleotides long. RefSeq lists it as uncharacterized. Lineage: Eukaryota; Metazoa; Chordata; Actinopteri; Kurtiformes; Apogonidae. The transcript has 3 exons. The record is from RefSeq and is a predicted model, not a curated record.
GUAUGCAUGUUUCUAGUGCUUUUAACCAUUGAUGACACUUAGAGGUGAUAUUGGAAAACUGUUAAUAAUGUGAAAAGGUCAUUCCUCUAAGUGAUGUGGACAUCAGAGAUACACAGAUGAACAAUUAACACACUGACAGGCCGUA